This is a non-coding RNA of Acanthosepion pharaonis, 110 nucleotides long. The record is from the annotation of a GenBank genome assembly. NCBI's taxonomy places the organism in Eukaryota, Metazoa, Mollusca, Cephalopoda, Sepiida, Sepiidae.
UGACCAUAUCACAUUGAAACACUGGCUCUCGUAUGACCACCAAAGUUAAGCAACAUUGAGUCUGGUUAGUACCUAGAUGGGUGACCAUUUUGGAAUACCAGGUGCUGUAA